UACACUUUUUUAGUUUCAGGCACCCCAAGGGGUUUAAUAGGGAAGCCGGUGCGAACCCGGCGCGGUCCCGCCGCUGUAACCGGGGACGAAACCUGCAAUUGCCACUGUUUACCUGAAGGGAAUGGGAAGGCGCAGGGACUAGGAUAAUCCGGGAGUCAGAAGACCUGCCUGUGAGCUUAUUGGUAU
This 186-nucleotide non-coding RNA is filed under the name Desulfobacca acetoxidans. The record is from RNAcentral. RNAcentral also lists the same sequence under 1 other name. Lineage: Bacteria; Pseudomonadati; Thermodesulfobacteriota; Desulfobaccia; Desulfobaccales; Desulfobaccaceae.